AGUCGAACGAAGCACUUGAAUGGAAUUCUUCGGAAGGGAGCUCAAGUGACUGAGUGGCGGACGGGUGAGUAACGCGUGGGUAACCUGCCUCAUACAGGGGGAUAACAGUUAGAAAUGACUGCUAAUACCGCAUAAGCACACGUGAUCGCAUGAUCGAGUGUGAAAAACUCCGGUGGUAUGAGAUGGACCCGUGUCUGAUUAGCUAGUUGGUGGGGUAAUGGCCCACCAAGGCGACGAUCAGUAGCCGGCCUGAGAGGGUGAACGGCCACAUUGGGACUGAGACACGGCCCAAACUCCUACGGGAGGCAGCAGUGGGGAAUAUUGCACAAUGGGGGAAACCCUGAUGCAGCGACGCCGCGUGAAGGAUGAAGUAUUUCGGUAUGUAAACUUCUAUCAGCAGGGAAGAAAAUGACGGUACCUGACUAAGAAGCCCCGGCUAACUACGUGCCAGCAGCCGCGGUAAUACGUAGGGGGCAAGCGUUAUCCGGAUUUACUGGGUGUAAAGGGAGCGUAGACGGCAGUGCAAGUCUGAAGUGAAAGCCCGGGGCUCAACCCCGGGACUGCUUUGGAAACUGUGCAGCUAGAGUGUCGGAGAGGCAAGCGGAAUUCCUAGUGUAGCGGUGAAAUGCGUAGAUAUUAGGAGGAACACCAGUGG
This 655-nucleotide ribosomal RNA is filed under the name uncultured Lachnospiraceae bacterium. RNAcentral's name for it is "bacterial SSU rRNA". It matches the Rfam family "Bacterial small subunit ribosomal RNA", at positions 60 to 715 of the family's 1533-position model. Lineage: Bacteria; Bacillati; Bacillota; Clostridia; Lachnospirales; Lachnospiraceae. The record is from RNAcentral.